RNAcentral lists this ribosomal RNA (301 nucleotides) under uncultured bacterium. RNAcentral describes it as "partial 16S ribosomal RNA". It matches the Rfam family "Bacterial small subunit ribosomal RNA", at positions 509 to 809 of the family's 1533-position model. The record is from RNAcentral.
CAGCAGCCGCGGGAAUACGUAGGUGGCGAGCGUUGUCCGGAAUUAUUGGGCGUAAAGGGAGCGCAGGCGGACAUAUAAGUCCAUCUUAAAAGUGCGGGGCUCAACCCCGUGAGGGGAUGGAAACUGUAUGCCUUGAGUGCAGGAGAGGAAAGCGGGAUUCCCAGUGUAGCGGUGAAAUGCGCAGAUAUUGGGAGGAACACCAGUGGCGAAGGCGGCUUUCUGGACUGCAACUGACGCUGAGGCUCGAAAGCCAGGGGAGCGAACGGGAUUAGAGACCCCCGUAGUCCCUGUCUCUUAUACA